UGGGGAAUUUUGCGCAAUGGGCGAAAGCCUGACGCAGCGACGCCGCGUGGGGGAAGAAGGCCUUCGGGUUGUAAACUCCUUUAGUAUGGGAAGAAGCCUCGAGUAAUCGGGGUGACGGUACCAUAAGAAUAAGCCACGGCUAACUCUGUGCCAGCAGCCGCGGUAAGACAGAGGUGGCAAGCGUUGUUCGGAUUUACUGGGCUUAAAGGGCGUGUAGGCGUCCUGAUAAGUCAGAUGUGGAAGCCUUGGGCUUAACCCAAGAAUUGCAUUUGAAACUGUCAGGAUUGAGUCGUGCAUGGGAGGGCGGAAUUCCUGGUGUAGCGGUGAAAUGCGUAGAUAUCAGGAGGAAGGCCGGUGGCGAAGGUGGCCCUCUGGGCGAUGACUGACGCUGAGGCGCGAA
RNAcentral lists this ribosomal RNA (400 nucleotides) under uncultured bacterium. RNAcentral's name for it is "bacterial SSU rRNA". It matches the Rfam family "Bacterial small subunit ribosomal RNA", at positions 355 to 757 of the family's 1533-position model. The record is from RNAcentral.